This 483-nucleotide ribosomal RNA is filed under the name uncultured bacterium. RNAcentral's name for it is "partial 16S ribosomal RNA". It matches the Rfam family "Bacterial small subunit ribosomal RNA", at positions 28 to 507 of the family's 1533-position model. The record is from RNAcentral.
GAUGAAUGCUGGCGGCGUGCCUAACACAUGCAAGUCGAACGGAGUCGUUUUGGAAAUCUCUUCGGAGAUGGAAUUCUCGACUUAGUGGCGGACGGGUGAGUAACGCGUGAGCAAUCUGCCUUUAAGAGGGGGAUAACAGUCGGAAACGGCUGCUAAUACCGCAUAAAGCAUUAAAUUCGCAUGUUUUUGAUGCCAAAGGAGCAAUCCGCUUUUAGAUGAGCUCGCGUCUGAUUAGCUAGUUGGCGGGGUAACGGCCCACCAAGGCGACGAUCAGUAGCCGGACUGAGAGGUUGAACGGCCACAUUGGGACUGAGACACGGCCCAGACUCCUACGGGAGGCAGCAGUGGGGAAUAUUGCGCAAUGGGGGAAACCCUGACGCAGCAACGCCGCGUGAUGGAAGAAGGCCUUCGGGUUGUAAAGAUCUUUAAUCAGGGACGAAACAAAUGACGGUACCUGAAGAAUAAGCUCCGGCUAACUACGUG